This 1133-nucleotide ribosomal RNA is filed under the name Brevibacterium sp. Its description in RNAcentral is "bacterial SSU rRNA". It matches the Rfam family "Bacterial small subunit ribosomal RNA", at positions 173 to 1319 of the family's 1533-position model. Lineage: Bacteria; Bacillati; Actinomycetota; Actinomycetes; Micrococcales; Brevibacteriaceae. The record is from RNAcentral.
ACGACUGCCGGACGCAUGUCUGGUGGUGGAAAGUUUUUUCGGUUGGGGAUGGGCUCGCGGCCUAUCAGUUUGUUGGUGAGGUAAUGGCUCACCAAGACGACGACGGGUAGCCGGCCUGAGAGGGCGACCGGCCACACUGGGACUGAGACACGGCCCAGACUCCUACGGGAGGCAGCAGUGGGGAAUAUUGCACAAUGGGGGAAACCCUGAUGCAGCGACGCAGCGUGCGGGAUGACGGCCUUCGGGUUGUAAACCGCUUUCAGCAGGGAAGAAGCGCAAGUGACGGUACCUGCCAGAAGAAGUACCGGCUAACUACGUGCCAGCAGCCGCGGUAAUACGUAGGGUACGAGCGUUGUCCGGAAUUAUUGGGCGUAAAGAGCUCGUAGGUGGUUGGUCACGUCUGCUGUGGAAACGCAACGCUUAACGUUGCGCGUGCAGUGGGUACGGGCUGACUAGAGUGCAGUAGGGGAGUCUGGAAUUCCUGGUGUAGCGGUGAAAUGCGCAGAUAUCAGGAGGAACACCGGUGGCGAAGGCGGGACUCUGGGCUGUAACUGACACUGAGGAGCGAAAGCAUGGGGAGCGAACAGGAUUAGAUACCCUGGUAGUCCAUGCCGUAAACGUUGGGCACUAGGUGUGGGGGGCAUUCCACGUUCUCCGCGCCGUAGCUAACGCAUUAAGUGCCCCGCCUGGGGAGUACGGUCGCAAGGCUAAAACUCAAAGGAAUUGACGGGGGCCCGCACAAGCGGCGGAGCAUGCGGAUUAAUUCGAUGCAACGCGAAGAACCUUACCAAGGCUUGACAUACACCGGACCGUCCUGGAAACAGGUCCUCUUCUUUGAAGCUGGUGUACAGGUGGUGCAUGGUUGUCGUCAGCUCGUGUCGUGAGAUGUUGGGUUAAGUCCCGCAACGAGCGCAACCCUCGUUCUAUGUUGCCAGCACGUGAUGGUGGGAACUCAUAGGAGACUGCCGGGGUCAACUCGGAGGAAGGUGGGGAUGACGUCAAAUCAUCAUGCCCUUUAUGUCUUGGGCUUCACGCAUGCUACAAUGGCUGGUACAGAGAGAGGCGAACCCGUGAGGGCAAGCGAAUCCCUUAAAGCCAGUCUCAGUUCGGAUCGUAGUCUGCAAUUCGACUAC